Molecule: ribosomal RNA, 448 nt
Filed under: uncultured bacterium
Lineage: Bacteria
Description: partial 16S ribosomal RNA
Rfam family: Bacterial small subunit ribosomal RNA
Source: RNAcentral
AACGAACGCUGGCGGCAUGCCUACACAUGCAAGUCGAACGAAGCCUUCGGGCUUAGUGGCGCACGGGUGCGUAACGCGUGGGAAUCUGCCCUUUGGUUCGGAAUAACAGUUGGAAACGACUGCUAAUACCGGAUGAUGGCGAAAGUCCAAAGAUUUAUCGCCAGAGGAUGAGCCCGCGUAGGAUUAGCUAGUUGGUGUGGUAAAGGCGCACCAAGGCGACGAUCCUUAGCUGGUCUGAGAGGAUGAUCAGCCACACUGGGACUGAGACACGGCCCAGACUCCUACGGGAGGCAGCAGUGGGGAAUAUUGGACAAUGGGCGAAAGCCUGAUCCAGCAAUGCCGCGUGAGUGGUGAAGGCCCUAGGGUUGUAAAGCUCUUUUACCCGGGAUGAUAAUGACAGUACCGGGAGAAUAAGCCCCGGCUAACUCCGUGCCAGCCGCCGCCGUAA